This 438-nucleotide ribosomal RNA is filed under the name uncultured bacterium. Its description in RNAcentral is "partial 16S ribosomal RNA". It matches the Rfam family "Bacterial small subunit ribosomal RNA", at positions 339 to 795 of the family's 1533-position model. The record is from RNAcentral.
CUACGGGCGCAGCAGUGAGGAAUAUUGCACAAUGGGGGGAACCCUGAUGCAGCAACGCCGCGUGGAGGAUGACGCAUUUCGGUGUGUAAACUCCUUUUAUAUGUCAAGAAAAUGACGGUAGCAUAUGAAUAAGCACCGGCUAACUCCGUGCCAGCAGCCACGGUAAUACGGAGGGCGCAAGCGUUACUCGGAAUCACUGGGCGUAAAGGACGCGUAGGCGGGUUGGAAAGUCAGGUGUGAAAUCCUACAGCUUAACUGUAGAACUGCACUUGAAACUUCUAAUCUAGAGUAUGGGAGGGGGAGAUGGAAUUAGUGGUGUAGGGGUAAAAUCCGUAGAUAUCACUAGGAAUACCUAAAGCGAAGGCGAUCUCCUGGAACAUUACUGACGCUAAGGCGUGAAAGCGUGGGGAGCAAACGGGAUUAGAUACCCGGGUAGUC